GAUGAACGCUAGCGGAGGCGUUAAUACAUGCAAGUCGAGGGGUAUAUAUCUUUCGGGAUAUAGAGACCCGGCGAACGGGUGCGUAACGCGUAUGCAACCUGCCUUACACUGGGAAUAGCUUUCGGAAACGAAAUUAAUGCCGCAUAAUAUAAUUGGAUCGCAUGGUUUGAUUAUUAAAGAUUUAUUGGUGUAAGAUGGGCAUGCGUUAGAUUAGCUAGUUGGUAAGGUAAUGGCUUACCAAGGCAACGAUCUAUAGCGGGUCUGAGAGGAUGAUCCGCCACACUGGUACUGAGACACGGACCAGACUCCUACGGGAGGCAGCAGUAGGGAAUAUUGGACAAUGGACGAGAGUCUGAUCCAGCCAUCCCGCGUGCAGGAAGACUGCCCUAUGGGUUGUAAACUGCUUUUAUAAAGGAAGAAAAAGAGUUAUGCGUAACUCACUGACGGUACUUUAUGAAUAAGCACCGGCUAACUCCGUG
RNAcentral lists this ribosomal RNA (479 nucleotides) under uncultured bacterium. Its description in RNAcentral is "bacterial SSU rRNA". It matches the Rfam family "Bacterial small subunit ribosomal RNA", at positions 28 to 507 of the family's 1533-position model. The record is from RNAcentral.